Molecule: ribosomal RNA, 254 nt
Filed under: uncultured bacterium
Lineage: Bacteria
Description: partial 16S ribosomal RNA
Rfam family: Bacterial small subunit ribosomal RNA
Source: RNAcentral
UACGUAGGGUGCAAGCGUUGUCCGGAAUUAUUGGGCGUAAAGGGCUCGUAGGCGGUCCAUCGCGUCGGGAGUGAAAAGCUGGGGCUUAACCCCAGUCCUGCUUUCGAUACGGGUGGACUAGAGGUAGGCAGGGGAGAACGGAAUUCCGUGGUGUAGCGGUGAAAUGCGCAGAUAUCAGGAGGAACACCGGUGGCGAAGGCGGUUCUCUGGGCCGAUACUGACGCUGAGGAGCGAAAGCGUGGGGAGCGAACAGG